CCUACGGGAGGCAGCAGUGAGGAAUAUUGGUCAAUGGUCGCGAGGCUGAACCAGCCAAGUCGCGUGAAGGAUGACGGCCCUGAGCGUUGUAAACUGCUUUUAUCCGGGGACAAAAUGCGUCACGCGUGCGGUUCUGUAGGUACCGCGUGAAUAAGCACCGGCUAACUCCGUGCCAGCAGCCGCGGUAAUACGGAGGAUGCGGGCGUUAUCCGGAUUUAUUGGGUUUAAAGGGUGCGUAGGCGGAUCUUUAAGCGGGCGGUGAAAUCGCGGGGCUCAACCAGGCCAAGGCGUCGGAACUGGGUGCCUUGAGUGCGCGGGAGGCAUGCGGAAUGCGUGGUGUAGCGGUGAAAUGCAUAGAUAUCGCGAAGAACUCCGAUUGCGAAGGCAGCGUACGGCGGCGCUACUGACGCUGAGGCACGAAGGCGCGGGGAUCGAACAGGAUUAGAUACCCGGGUAGUC
RNAcentral lists this ribosomal RNA (459 nucleotides) under uncultured bacterium. RNAcentral describes it as "partial 16S ribosomal RNA". It matches the Rfam family "Bacterial small subunit ribosomal RNA", at positions 338 to 795 of the family's 1533-position model. The record is from RNAcentral.